UCCGGUUUGUCACCGGCAGUCUCCCUAGAGUGCCCUUGCGUAGCAACUAGGGACAAGGGUUGCGCUCGUUGCGGGACUUAACCCAACAUCUCACGACACGAGCUGACGACAGCCAUGCAGCACCUGUGUUCCGAUUCCCUUUCGGGCACACCCACCUCUCAGCGGGCUUCCGGACAUGUCAAGGGUAGGUAAGGUGGGGAUGACGUGGCACGCAAUAACA
RNAcentral lists this unclassified non-coding RNA (220 nucleotides) under uncultured Gammaproteobacteria bacterium. RNAcentral describes it as "contains 16S-23S intergenic spacer region". Lineage: Bacteria; Pseudomonadati; Pseudomonadota; Gammaproteobacteria. The record is from RNAcentral.